Molecule: ribosomal RNA, 204 nt
Filed under: Pleurophragmium sp.
Lineage: Eukaryota; Fungi; Ascomycota; Sordariomycetes
Description: partial large subunit ribosomal RNA
Source: RNAcentral
AAGCACUUGUGACCAGACUUUUUCUAGGCGGAUCAUCCGGUGUUCUCACCGGUGCACUUCGCCUAGUGAAGGCCAGCAUCGGUUUCUGCGGGGGGACAAAAGCUUCGGGAAUGUGGCUCGCUUCGGUGAGUGUUAUAGCCCGUUGUAUAAUACCUCCGCGGGGACCGAGGUCCGCGCAUUGCAAGGAUGCUGGCGUAAUGGUUA